GGUAGGUCAAUCCGAUGGUUGGCGACGGAACUGGUCUUGAAAACCAGCGAGUGCUAAUAGCGCCUUGUGAGUUCGAUCCUCACACCUACCG
This 91-nucleotide transfer RNA is filed under the name Vibrio phage KIT04. RNAcentral describes it as "tRNA-Ser". It matches the Rfam family "tRNA". Rfam says of the family: Transfer RNA (tRNA) molecules are approximately 80 nucleotides in length. Their secondary structure includes four short double-helical elements and three loops (D, anti-codon, and T loops). Further hydrogen bonds mediate the characteristic L-shaped molecular structure. tRNAs have two regions of fundamental functional importance: the anti-codon, which is responsible for specific mRNA codon recognition, and the 3' end, to which the tRNAs corresponding amino acid is attached (by aminoacyl-tRNA synthetases). tRNAs cope with the degeneracy of the genetic code in two manners: having more than one tRNA (with a specific anti-codon) for a particular amino acid; and 'wobble' base-pairing, i.e. permitting non-standard base-pairing at the 3rd anti-codon position. The record is from RNAcentral. Lineage: Duplodnaviria; Heunggongvirae; Uroviricota; Caudoviricetes; Demerecviridae.